This 319-nucleotide ribosomal RNA is filed under the name uncultured bacterium. Its description in RNAcentral is "bacterial SSU rRNA". It matches the Rfam family "Bacterial small subunit ribosomal RNA", at positions 470 to 789 of the family's 1533-position model. The record is from RNAcentral.
UGACGGUACCUGCAGAAGAAGCCCCGGCUAACUACGUGCCAGCAGCCGCGGUAAUACGUAGGGGGCGAGCGUUAUCCGGAUUCAUUGGGCGUAAAGCGCGCGUAGGCGGCUCCCUAAGCGGGACCUCUAAUCCAGGGGCUCAACCUCUGGCCGGGUCCCGAACUGGGGGGCUCGGGUUCGGUAGGGGAAGACGGAAUUCCCGGUGUAGCGGUGGAAUGCGCAGAUAUCGGGAGGAACACCGAUGGCGAAGGCAGUCUUCUGGGCCGCGACCGACGCUGAGGCGCGAAAGCUGGGGGAGCGAACAGGAUUAGAUACCCUG